RNAcentral lists this ribosomal RNA (425 nucleotides) under uncultured bacterium. RNAcentral describes it as "partial 16S ribosomal RNA". It matches the Rfam family "Bacterial small subunit ribosomal RNA", at positions 354 to 796 of the family's 1533-position model. The record is from RNAcentral.
GUGGGGAAUAUUGCACAAUGGGGGAAACCCUGAUGCAGCAACGCCGCGUGAGUGAUGAAGGCCUUCGGGUUGUAAAGCUCUGUCUUCAGGGACGAUAAUGACGGUACCUGAGGAGGAAGCCACGGCUAACUACGUGCCAGCAGCCGCGGUAAUACGUAGGUGGCAAGCGUUGUCCGGAUUUACUGGGCGUAAAGGGAGCGUAGGCGGAUACUUAAGUGGGAUGUGAAAUACCUGGGCUUAACUUGGGUGCUGCAUUCCAAACUGGGUGUCUAGAGUGUUGGAGAGGAAAGUAGAAUUCCUAGUGUAGCGGUGAAAUGCGUAGAGAUUAGGAAGGAUACCAGUGGCGAAGGCGACUUUCUGGACUGUAACUGACACUGAGGCUCGAAAGCGUGGGGAGCAAACAGGAUUAGAAACCCGUGUAGUCC